Molecule: transfer RNA, 85 nt
Filed under: Bacillus sp. S3
Lineage: Bacteria; Bacillati; Bacillota; Bacilli; Caryophanales; Bacillaceae
Description: tRNA-Leu
Rfam family: tRNA
About the family: Transfer RNA (tRNA) molecules are approximately 80 nucleotides in length. Their secondary structure includes four short double-helical elements and three loops (D, anti-codon, and T loops).
Source: RNAcentral
GCGGGUGUGGCGGAAUUGGCAGACGCACCAGACUUAGGAUCUGGCGUCGCAAGGCGUGGGGGUUCGACUCCCUUCACCCGCACCA